RNAcentral lists this ribosomal RNA (219 nucleotides) under uncultured bacterium. RNAcentral describes it as "partial 16S ribosomal RNA". It matches the Rfam family "Bacterial small subunit ribosomal RNA", at positions 118 to 336 of the family's 1533-position model. The record is from RNAcentral.
UGAGCAAUCUGCCCUUCACAUCGGAAUAACCAUUGGAAACGAUGGCUAAUACCGAAUAUGACUUCGGAUCGCAUGAUCUGAAGUGGAAAGCUCCGGCGGUGAAGGAUGAGCUCGCGGCCUAUCAGCUUGUUGGUGAGGUAAUAGCUCACCAAGGCGAUGGACGGGUAGCCGGCCUGAGAGGGUGACCGGCCACACGUGGGACUGAGACACCGGCACGUA